UCUGGUUGAUCCUGCCAGAGGUUACUGCUAUCGAGGUUCGACUAAGCCAUGCGAGUCGAAUGUAGCAAUACAUGGCGUACUGCUCAGUAACACGUGGACAACCUACCCUCCGGACGGGUAUAAACCCGGGAAACUGGGUAUAAUCCCCGAUAGAUCUCGGUCGCUGGAAUGCCCCGAGAUCGAAAGCUCCGGCGCCAGAGGAUGGGUCUGCGGCCUAUCAGGUAGUAGUGGGUGUAGCGUACCUACUAGCCUACGACGGGUACGGGUUGUGAGAGCAAGAGCCCGGAGAUGGAUUCUGAGACACGAAUCCAGGCCCUACGGGGUGCAGCAGGCGCGAAAACUUACAAUGCCGGCAACGGCGAUAAGGGGACCUCGAGUGCCAGGUUACAAAUCUGGCUGUCGUGAUGCCUAAAAAGCAUUGCAUAGCAAGGGCCGGGCAAGACCGGUGCCAGCCGCCGCGGUAACACCGGCGGCUCGAGUGGUAACCGUUAUUAUUGGGUCUAAAGGGUCUGUAGCCGGCCGGAUAAGUCUCUUGAGAAAUCCAGCAGCUCAACUGUUGGGCUUUCAGGAGAUACUGUUCGGCUCGAGGCCGGGAGAGGUGAGAGGUACUUCAGGGGUAGGGGUGAAAUCUUGUAAUCCG
This 640-nucleotide ribosomal RNA is filed under the name metagenome. Its description in RNAcentral is "bacterial SSU rRNA". It matches the Rfam family "Archaeal small subunit ribosomal RNA", at positions 1 to 649 of the family's 1478-position model. The record is from RNAcentral.